GACAUUACCGAGUGAGGGCCCUCUGGGUCCAACCUCCCACCCGUGUUUAUUUUACCUUGUUGCUUCGGCGGGCCCGCCUUAACUGGCCGCCGGGGGGCUUACGCCCCCGGGCCCGCGCCCGCCGAAGACACCCUCGAACUCUGUCUGAAGAUUGUAGUCUGAGUGAAAAUAUAAAUUAUUUAAAACUUUCAACAACGGAUCUCUUGGUUCCGGCAUCGAUGAAGAACGCAGCGAAAUGCGAUACGUAAUGUGAAUUGCAAAUUCAGUGAAUCAUCGAGUCUUUGAACGCACAUUGCGCCCCCUGGUAUUCCGGGGGGCAUGCCUGUCCGAGCGUCAUUGCUGCCCUCAAGCACGGCUUGUGUGUUGGGCCCCGUCCUCCGAUCCCGGGGGACGGGCCCGAAAGGCAGCGGCGGCACCGCGUCCGGUCCUCGAGCGUAUGGGGCUUUGUCACCCGCUCUGUAGGCCCGGCCGGCGCUUGCCGAUCAACCCAAAUUUUUAUCCAGGUUGACCUCGGAUCAGGUAGGGAUACCCGCUGAACUUAAGC
Molecule: ribosomal RNA, 544 nt
Filed under: Penicillium chrysogenum
Lineage: Eukaryota; Fungi; Ascomycota; Eurotiomycetes; Eurotiales; Aspergillaceae
Description: eukaryotic LSU rRNA
Rfam family: 5.8S ribosomal RNA (bases 184-336)
Source: RNAcentral